RNAcentral lists this ribosomal RNA (434 nucleotides) under uncultured Lachnospiraceae bacterium. Its description in RNAcentral is "partial 16S ribosomal RNA". It matches the Rfam family "Bacterial small subunit ribosomal RNA", at positions 341 to 792 of the family's 1533-position model. Lineage: Bacteria; Bacillati; Bacillota; Clostridia; Lachnospirales; Lachnospiraceae. The record is from RNAcentral.
ACGGGAGGCAGCAGUGGGGAAUAUUGCACAAUGGGGGAAACCCUGAUGCAGCGACGCCGCGUGAGUGAAGAAGUAUUUCGGUAUGUAAAGCUCUAUCAGCAGGGAAGAAAAUGACGGUACCUGACUAAGAAGCCCCGGCUAACUACGUGCCAGCAGCCGCGGUAAUACGUAGGGGGCAAGCGUUAUCCGGAUUUACUGGGUGUAAAGGGAGCGCAGACGGCAAGGCAAGUCUGAUGUGAAAGGUGGGGGCUCAACCCCCAAACUGCAUUGGAAACUGUCUGGCUAGAGCGCCGGAGAGGUAAGCGGAAUUCCUAGUGUAGCGGUGAAAUGCGUAGAUAUUAGGAGGAACACCAGUGGCGAAGGCGGCUUACUGGACGGUAACUGACGUUGAGGCUCGAAAGCGUGGGGAGCAAACAGGAUUAGAUACCCUGGUA